AGAAGGAGCCGAGCAAUGGACGGAGUCGCAGGCCUGUUAAGGGGUUUGAAGCUGUCGGAGGAGGAGAAGAAGGGAGUGAAGAUCAGAUGCGCGAUGCAGGGGAAGGGGAAGGAGUGGUUGAUACAGGCUGUAGGCAAGGUCAUGUCGGAGAAGCUAGCCCACCCAAAUGCCAUCUGCCUUACCUUAGGCAAAGUCUGGUGCCCGAUCAAGGGGAUAGAUUGCAAGGAAAUAGGAGUGAAUCAGUUCAUGUUCACAUUCUUCCAGGAGUCGGGGAAAAGGAAGGCGCUCGAAGAUGGGCCGUGGAUGUUUGACAAAGAUUUGAUGGUGGUAGAGGAGUAUGUGCUAAUGAAGAGGCCGGAGGAUUAUCAGUUCAAUAACAUCCCAAUAUGGGUUAGGGUUUACAACCUUCCUCUAGGCAUGAUGAAUGGCGAUUCUGCAGAG
RNAcentral lists this ribosomal RNA (441 nucleotides) under Triticum aestivum (bread wheat). RNAcentral describes it as "partial small subunit ribosomal RNA". Lineage: Eukaryota; Viridiplantae; Streptophyta; Magnoliopsida; Poales; Poaceae. The record is from RNAcentral.